UUAGUUAAAACCAAAAAGAGGUAUAUCACUGUUAAUGAUAAAAUUGAAAGUUUUCUAACUAAA
This 63-nucleotide transfer RNA is filed under the name Hylurgus micklitzi. RNAcentral describes it as "tRNA-Asn". Lineage: Eukaryota; Metazoa; Arthropoda; Insecta; Coleoptera; Curculionidae. The record is from RNAcentral.